This 410-nucleotide ribosomal RNA is filed under the name uncultured microorganism. RNAcentral's name for it is "bacterial SSU rRNA". It matches the Rfam family "Archaeal small subunit ribosomal RNA", at positions 330 to 745 of the family's 1478-position model. The record is from RNAcentral.
GUGCAGGCAGGCGAGAAUACUUUACAAUGUGCGAAAGCACGAUAAGGGAACUCUGAGUGCCUCCUAAGGAGGCUGUUCAGGUGUCUAAAAGCACCUGAAGGAAGGGCUGGGUAAGACCGGUGCCAGCCGCCGCGGUAACACCGGCAGCCCAAGUGGUAGCCACGUUUAUUGGGUCUAAAGCGUCCGUAGCCGGCUGGGUAAGUUCCUUGGGAAAUUUGGCUGCUUAACAGUCAAGCUUUCAGGGAAUACUGCCCGGCUUGGGACCGGGAGAGGUCAGAGGUACUCCAGGGGUAGGGGUGAAAUCCAUUAAUCCUUGGGGGACCACCGGUAGCGAAGGCGUCUGACCAGACCGGGUCCGACGGUGAGGGACGAAGGCUAGGGGCGCGAACCGGAUUAGAUACCCCCGUAGU